CGGACGGGUGAGUAACGCGUGGAAAACCUGCCGUAUACUGGGGGAUAACACUUAGAAAUAGGUGCUAAUACCGCAUAAGCGCACAGCUUCGCAUGAAGUGGAGUGAAAAACUCCGGUGGUAUACGAUGGUUCCGCGUCUGAUUAGCUUGUUGGUGGGGUAAUGGCUCACCAAGGCGACGAUCAGUAGCCGGCCUGAGAGGGUGAACGGCCACAUUGGGACUGAGACACGGCCCAAACUCCUACGGAAGGCAGCAG
Molecule: ribosomal RNA, 255 nt
Filed under: uncultured bacterium
Lineage: Bacteria
Description: partial 16S ribosomal RNA
Rfam family: Bacterial small subunit ribosomal RNA
Source: RNAcentral